This 73-nucleotide transfer RNA is filed under the name Petromyzon marinus (sea lamprey). Its description in RNAcentral is "tRNA-Ala (AGC) (tRNA-Ala-AGC-28 1 to 3)". It matches the Rfam family "tRNA". Rfam says of the family: Transfer RNA (tRNA) molecules are approximately 80 nucleotides in length. Their secondary structure includes four short double-helical elements and three loops (D, anti-codon, and T loops). Lineage: Eukaryota; Metazoa; Chordata; Hyperoartia; Petromyzontiformes; Petromyzontidae. The record is from RNAcentral.
GGGGGAUUAGCUCAAGUGGUAGAGCACUCGCUUAGCAUGCGAGAGGUUGUGGGAUCGCUGCCCACAUUCUCCA